CUUUGGGUCUGUAGCUCAGGUGGUUAGAGCGCACCCCUGAUAAGGGUGAGGUCGGUGGUUCGAGUCCUCCCAGACCCACCACUCUGAAUGUAUCGCACACGAAGAAUUUGAAUGAUUCGGCGCUGAGGCCGGGUCGUGUUCUUUAAUAAUUAGUGAUGUAGCGAACGUUUGAGAACAAUACUCUCGACGUGUCGUUGUGGCUAAGGCGGGGACUUCGAGUCCCUAAAAUUGAGUCGUUAUAGUUCGCGUCCGGGCUUUGUACCCCUGGGCUGAAUAUGACCUUGAGGC
This 288-nucleotide unclassified non-coding RNA is filed under the name Xanthomonas albilineans. RNAcentral's name for it is "partial contains 16S-23S ribosomal RNA intergenic spacer and 23S ribosomal RNA". The stretch from base 5 to 78 matches the Rfam family "tRNA". The record is from RNAcentral. Lineage: Bacteria; Pseudomonadati; Pseudomonadota; Gammaproteobacteria; Lysobacterales; Lysobacteraceae.